GAGGGUGACAGGUGGUGCAUGGUUGUCGUCAGCUCGUGUCGUGAGAUGUUGGGUUAAGUCCCGCAACGAGCGCAACCCUCGCCUCUAGUUGCCAGCAUUCGGUUGGGCACUCUAGAGGGACUGCCGGCGACAAGUCGGAGGAAGGUGGGGAUGACGUCAAAUCAUCAUGCCCCUUAUGACCUGGGCUACACACGUGCUACAAUGGGCGGUACAAAGGGCUGUGAACCCGCGAGGGGGAGCGAAUCCCAAAAAGCCGCACUCAGUUCGGAUUGCAGGCUGCAACUCGCCUGCAUGAAGCCGGAAUCGCUAGUAAUCGCGGAUCAGCAUGCCGCGGUGAAUACGUUCCCGGGCCUU
This 354-nucleotide ribosomal RNA is filed under the name uncultured Geobacillus sp. RNAcentral's name for it is "bacterial SSU rRNA". It matches the Rfam family "Bacterial small subunit ribosomal RNA", at positions 1027 to 1382 of the family's 1533-position model. The record is from RNAcentral. Lineage: Bacteria; Bacillati; Bacillota; Bacilli; Caryophanales; Anoxybacillaceae.